This is a long non-coding RNA of Erinaceus europaeus (western European hedgehog), 493 nucleotides long. RefSeq lists it as uncharacterized. The transcript is spliced from 3 exons. NCBI's taxonomy places the organism in Eukaryota, Metazoa, Chordata, Mammalia, Eulipotyphla, Erinaceidae. The record is from RefSeq and is a predicted model, not a curated record.
GCCGGAAGUCCAGGGCGCCCAGGGAGCGGGCGGUGCCUGAGUCCGGGGCUCUCCCGGGGGACAGCGGCCCUUCUUACCGGAGAGGUCGCGAACUCCUAAAGGCUUUGCGCUCGGAAGACGCCGGGACGGAGGUGUCCUGCCUUCUCUGUGCAUCUUGUCCUAGGCAGAGCUGCCUGGCAUCGGAGCCCCCUGAGGAUCCCCACUCCCCUGCAGCUCAUCAUGUCUGAGGGGAGUCUCCUUCCAUGAGGAAAGGGAUUGGAGGCCUGGCCCAGAGUCCUGACCCCCCCCCCCCCCAGCACCUGCCUCAACCACAUGCCUACCCUGUCCCCCAUCCCAGGAAAGACUGAGGCCUAGAGGAAGCAAGCAGCUGGGCAUUGGUUCAGUCUUCUGACUGCAGAGGAAGCGGGACCCCACCCCCCCCCAGCACCUCAGACCAGGGGCCACAUUAGCCGUCCGCACUGAGGACCUGCAGGAGGACGGACCCUCAGAGCAG